UGCAUUCGUUUAUUCCGAAGUCCCUUACUUCCAGGGUUAUAGGACUGGCACUAAAUCCAUAGCUGCCAAUGUUCGUUCGUAAAGCACUAAUUCCAUAGCUGCUAUAGUUUAUUCAUCGGGUACUAAAUCCAUAGCUACCAGUGUUUAUCUAAUAGGUACUAAGUCCAUAGCUACCAAUUCCUAACAGGUACUAAAUCCAUAGCUACCAGUGUUUAUCUAAUAGGUACUAAGUCCAUAGCUACCAAUUCCUAACAGGUACUAAAUCCAUAGCUACCAGCGUCUAACUAAUUGGUACUAAGUCCAUAGCUACCAAUUCCUAACAGGUACUAAAUC
RNAcentral lists this long non-coding RNA (333 nucleotides) under Lactuca sativa (garden lettuce). Its description in RNAcentral is "long non-coding RNA (LSAT_LNC008855)". The record is from RNAcentral. Lineage: Eukaryota; Viridiplantae; Streptophyta; Magnoliopsida; Asterales; Asteraceae.